GACGAACUUUGGCGGCGUGCUUAACACAUGCAAGUCGAACGGAAAGGCCCUGCUUUUGUGGGGUGCUCGAGUGGCGAACGGGUGAGUAACACGUGAGUAACCUGCCCUUGACUUUGGGAUAACUUCAGGAAACUGGGGCUAAUACCGGAUAGGAGCUCCUGCUGCAUGGUGGGGGUUGGAAAGUUUCGGCGGUUGGGGAUGGACUCGCGGCUUAUCAGCUUGUUGGUGGGGUAGUGGCUUACCAAGGCUUUGACGGGUAGCCGGCCUGAGAGGGUGACCGGCCACAUUGGGACUGAGAUACGGCCCAGACUCCUACGGGAGGCAGCAGUGGGGAAUAUUGCACAAUGGGCGGAAGCCUGAUGCAGCAACGCCGCGUGCGGGAUGACGACCUUCGGGUUGUAAACCGCUUUCGCCUGUGACGAAGCGUGAGUGACGGUAAUGGGUAAAGAAGCACCGGCUAACUACGUGCCAGCAGCCGCGGUGAUACGUAGGGUGCGAGCGUUGUCCGGAUUUAUUGGGCGUAAAGGGCUCGUAGGUGGUUGAUCGCGUCGGAAGUGUAAUCUUGGGGCUUAACCCUGAGCGUGCUUUCGAUACGGGUUGACUUGAGGAAGGUAGGGGAGAAUGGAAUUCCUGGUGGAGCGGUGGAAUGCGCAGAUAUCAGGAGGAACACCAGUGGCGAAGGCGGUUCUCUGGGCCUUUCCUGACGCUGAGGAGCGAAAGCGUGGGGAGCGAACAGGCUUAGAUACCCUGGUAGUCCACGCUGUAAACGGUGGGUACUAGGUGUGGGGUCCAUUCCACGGGUUCCGUGCCGUAGCUAACGCUUUAAGUACCCCGCCUGGGGAGUACGGCCGCAAGGCUAAAACUCAAAGGAAUUGACGGGGCCCCGCACAAGCGGCGGAGCAUGCGGAUUAAUUCGAUGCAACGCGUAGAACCUUACCUGGGUUUGACAUGGAUCGGGAGUGCUCAGAGAUGGGUGUGCCUCUUUUGGGGUCGGUUCACAGGUGGUGCAUGGCUGUCGUCAGCUCGUGUCGUGAGAUGUUGGGUUAAGUCCCGCAACGAGCGCAACCCUUGUUCACUGUUGCCAGCACGUUAUGGUGGGGACUCAGUGGAGACCGCCGGGGUCAACUCGGAGGAAGGUGGGGAUGACGUCAAGUCAUCAUGCCCCUUAUGUCCAGGGCUUCACGCAUGCUACAAUGGCUGGUACAGAGAGUGGCGAGCCUGUGAGGGUGAGCGAAUCUCGGAAAGCCGGUCUCAGUUCGGAUUGGGGUCUGCAACUCGACCUCAUGAAGUCGGAGUCGCUAGUAAUCGCAGAUCAGCAACGCUGCGGUGAAUACGUUCCCGGGGCU
This 1346-nucleotide ribosomal RNA is filed under the name uncultured bacterium. RNAcentral's name for it is "partial 16S ribosomal RNA". It matches the Rfam family "Bacterial small subunit ribosomal RNA", at positions 28 to 1381 of the family's 1533-position model. The record is from RNAcentral.